AUUGUGCGAGUGCCACACUGUCUUCGCUCCGACAACGUAUUAUGUUCCUCCGACACUUCCGCUAAUCUACGAUUCCGAUCCAACGGUCCAUAUUCUCCUUCCACUUUUAUAGAUCUACUUUCCUUUUUCACUCCCCUUCCUUUAACUAUAUUCCCAUUCCCAUUUUCGCCCUCUCCUCUUAGCUCGCAUCAAAUCUAGAGAGAGAGAGAAUUCCGGCCACGAUUUGUCGGCAACGCUUUAGAUCACACCCAAUUCAUAGAUCUGUGCAUUACAGCCUUUUUUCUGAAGCAAUAAAAAGGGAAGAAAUCUGAAAUCUCUGUUGUGCUAUACAUCAUGGCGCCGACCACGAUUCGAAAGGCGAUCGGGGCAGUGAAGGAUCAGACGAGUAUAGGGCUCGCGAAAGUAGCCAGCAACAUGGCGCCGGAGCUGGAAGUUGCUAUUGUUAAGGCUACAAGCCAUGACGAUGAACCUGCGAGCGAGAAGUACAUCCGUGAGAUUCUUCACUUGACUUCUGUCUCUCGUGGGUAUGUGAGUGCUUGUGUUUCGUUGAUUUCCAAAAGGUUAGGCAAAACCCGCGAUUGGAUUGUUGCCAUCAAGUGUUUGAUGCUCAUUCACCGUCUUCUCAAUGAUGGUGAUAAUGUGUUUCAGCAAGAGAUCAUGUAUGCCACGAGGAGAGGCACCAGGCUUCUCAAUUUGUCUGAUUUUCGCGAUGAGGCUCAUUCGAAUUCAUGGGAUCAUUCGGCUUUUGUAAGGACUUAUGCUUUGUAUUUGGAUCAAAGAUUGGAGUUGAUGGUUUUUGAGAGGAAGCAAAAUGGGAGUACUGGUGGAGAGAUUGAGAGAUAUGGUUCUAGAGAAGAAAGGUGGAGAUCUCCUCCUAGCUCUAACCGAGGCAAUGGUUAUGAUUAUGGUGAGUUCAGGGAUGAGCCUGCUUAUGGAAUGAGGAAGUCGCGAUCAUCUGGGGAUGUGAGAGAGUCAACACAGGAGCGGAAAGAUGUGACCCCAUUAAGAGAGAUGAACCCUGAGAGGAUCUUUGGGAAGAUGACUCAUUUGCAGAGGUUGUUGGAUCGGUUUUUGUCUUGUCGACCAACUGGAUUGGCGAAAAAUGAAAGGAUGGUGUUGGUUGCUUUGUAUCCUAUGGUGAAAGAAAAUUUCCAGCUUUAUGCUGAUAUAUGUGAGGUUUUGGCUGUUUUGUUGGAUAAAUUCUUUGACAUGGAGUACCAGGAUUGCGUUAAGGCAUUUGAUGCCUAUGCUAGUGCAGCGAAGCAGAUCGAUGAGCUAGUGGGAUUCUACAACUGGUGUAAGGAUAUUGGUGUGGCUAGGUCGUCUGAGUAUCCGGAAGUUCAAAGGAUAACAAGCAAGCUAUUGGAUACAUUAGAAGAGUUUGUGAGGGACAGGGCUAAGGCGACAAAGAGUCCCGAGCGGAAAGUUGAGAGUCUGCCAGCUCCACCAGAAGAACCAGCACCUGAUAUGAAUGAGAUUAAAGCGUUGCCUGCACCGGAGGAGUAUACUCCUCCACCACCACCUGAACCGGAGCCUCCUAAGCCAGUGGUUCAGGAGACUGGGGAUUUGGUGGAUUUGAGGGAGGAGGGUGUUACUGCUGAUGAUCAGGGAAAUAAAUUUGCCUUGGCAUUGUUUGCAGGGCCUGGAACAAACAAUGGGUCGUGGGAAGCAUUCCCCGGCAAUGGGGAAGCUCAGAUGACCUCUGCUUGGCAGAAUCCAGCGGCUGAGAUUGGUAAGGCUGAUUGGGAGUUGGCUUUGGUGGAGACAGCUAGUCAUCUGUCUAAUCAAAAGGCCGCAUUGGGCGGUGGACUUGAUCCACUACUGUUGAAUGGCAUGUAUGAUCAAGGGAUGGUUAGGCAGCAUGUUUCCACUGCCCAGUUGAGUGGAGGUAGUGCCAGCAGUGUGGCAUUACCCGGGACAGGGAAGAGUGCAACGCCAGUUUUGGCACUCCCUGCACCUGAUGGAACGANCCGAUGGAACGGUCCAGACAGUUGGACAGGAUCCAUUUGCUGCAUCUUUGACUGUUCCACCUCCUUCAUAUGUACAAAUGGCGGAUUUGGAGAAGAAACAGCAAUUGCUUGUACAGGAGCAAGUCGUAUGGCAGCAAUAUGCUAGAGAUGGUAUGCAAGGCCAAACGAGUUUGUCCAAGAUCAACACUGGCGGAUAUUAUGGUCCACAAACAGCUGCGAUGCCUUAUGGCAUGCCACCAGUAAAUGGUGUUGGAUUACCACCUGCGGCAGGGUACUACUACACUCCUUACUGAUAUUGCCACGUAUACAUCAUUUUUAGCUUUUCAUUUUCCAUUUCAUUGUUAUGUUCUUUAUCUAGUGCUUUGAUCUUUUUCCACUGUAUUCUAUUGAUGGAUAUAUGUUCAAUUUGUGCAUGUGUAGUGAGGGUAGUGGUUGAGAGGAAGAGAGAAUGGGCUGAAGAGAAUAGAGACUAAUGGUUGGGGGGAUUCUUAUGCUGGGUGCUCUGUAAUCCUAAUAGCAUGACUCAUCUGUUUUUGUAAUAUUUGUAUUUUCUUCAGGUCUUCGUUUAAGUGAUGUUUGUUUCUAUAGUGUAACCUAACUCCAUUCCGAUCA
Non-coding RNA from Nicotiana tabacum (common tobacco), 2582 nucleotides. NCBI's taxonomy places the organism in Eukaryota, Viridiplantae, Streptophyta, Magnoliopsida, Solanales, Solanaceae. The record is from RefSeq and is a predicted model, not a curated record.